CCUACGGGCGGCAGCAGUGAGGAAUAUUGGUCCAUGGACGAGAGUCUGAACCAGCCAAGUAGCGUGCAGGAUGACUGCCCUAUGGGUUGUAAACUUCUUUUAUAAAGGAAUAAAACGAGGCACGUGUGCCUUUUGCAUGUACUUUAUGAAUAAGGAUCGGCUAACUCCGUGCCAGCAGCCGCGGUAAUACGGAGGAUCCGAGCGUUAUCCGGAUUUUUUGGGUUGAAAGGGAGCGUAGAUGGGUUGUUAAGUCAGUUGUGAAAGUUUGCGGCUCAACCGUAAAAUUGCAAUUGAUACUGUCAGUCUUGAGUACAGUUGAGGUAGGCGGAAUUCGUGGUGUAUCGGUGAAAUGCUUAGAGAUCACGAAGAACCCCGAUUGCGAAGGCAGCUUACUAAACUGUGACUGACAUUGAUGCUCGAAAGUGUGGGUAUCAAACAGGAUUAGAUACCCCGGUAGUC
This 459-nucleotide ribosomal RNA is filed under the name uncultured bacterium. RNAcentral's name for it is "partial 16S ribosomal RNA". It matches the Rfam family "Bacterial small subunit ribosomal RNA", at positions 338 to 795 of the family's 1533-position model. The record is from RNAcentral.